RNAcentral lists this ribosomal RNA (442 nucleotides) under uncultured bacterium. Its description in RNAcentral is "partial 16S ribosomal RNA". It matches the Rfam family "Bacterial small subunit ribosomal RNA", at positions 338 to 795 of the family's 1533-position model. The record is from RNAcentral.
CCUACGGGGGGCAGCAGUCGAGAAUUAUUCACAAUGGGGGAAACCCUGAUGGUGCGACACCGCGUGGGGGAAUGAAGGUCUUCGGAUUGUAAACUUCUGUUCUUAGUGAAGAAUAAUGACGGUAGCUAAGGAGCAAGCCACGGCUAACUACGUGCCAGCAGCCGCGGUAAUACGUAGGUGGCAAGCGUUGUCCGGAAUUACUGGGUGUAAAGGGAGCGCAGGCGGGAAGCCAAGUCAGCUGUGAAAACUACGGGCUUAACUUGUAGACUGCAGUUGAAACUGGUUUUCUUGAGUGAAGUAGAGGUUGGCGGAAUUCCGAGUGUAGCGGUGAAAUGCGUAGAUAUCAGGAGGAACAUCGGUGGCGUAAGCGCUUUACUGGGCCGUAAUUGACACUGAGGAACGAAAGCCGGGGUAGCAAAUGGGAUUAGAUACCCCUGUAGUC